Molecule: long non-coding RNA, 478 nt
Filed under: Triticum aestivum (bread wheat)
Lineage: Eukaryota; Viridiplantae; Streptophyta; Magnoliopsida; Poales; Poaceae
Description: long non-coding RNA (TAES_LNC009127)
Source: RNAcentral
UUCAAUAAUAUUAUUAUUACAUUAAAAAAGUCAUACCAAUUACAGGCCGAGCGAAGUCAUAAAGCCAAAGGUUAACUUAAAGCACUUCAGUUGUUACUUUCUGAAAAGGAUGAACGAAAGAAAAUAUUAUUCACAACAAUGUUACGAAAAAAUAAUACAAAAAAUUAAUAUCAUUAAGCAAAAAUAUAAGGUGACAUGAGGCUCACAUUUUAUAACCUCCUUUCUCAAUCUGCCUUCUUCUUAAAUAGAUCAAUCACAUCAUCGUUAGUAAUAGUAGAAAAUAUAUCUUUCCCCGCAUAGCAAAUCAAUCACUCAUUCAGGAACUCGUCACCCAUUUUGUUGCGCAAAACACUCUUGACAGUAUUCAUUGCUGAAAAAGCAUCUCUCCACUGACGUUGUGGCAACCGUCAAAAUGUGCACAAACUUUAGAAGUUGAUACACCAAAGGAAAAACAAGAUGCUUCCUAGUGCCCACCAAC